Long non-coding RNA from Chelonia mydas (Green sea turtle), 2960 nucleotides. RefSeq lists it as uncharacterized. Lineage: Eukaryota; Metazoa; Chordata; Testudines; Cheloniidae. The record is from RefSeq and is a predicted model, not a curated record. The transcript has 6 exons.
UUACAAAUACCCAAGAAUAGAUUCCAGUAAGGGGCACAAACUGUCCCUGGGUUAAAUUAUGAAGUGCUUGAAAAACAAUUACUGUCUCUCUUCUACUGCAGAUGGAGGUCACCGGCAACUGAUAAUCCAUCUCAGAAUCUCAGGAACAUCGGAGGAUCUGGCUCUCUACCACCGAAGCAGGAGAUCAACAGAUCUGGACUUCACUGGAUCCUUUGGUGGAACACAGGAAUCAGAGCCCUGCGUGGAUACAAAAAUGUGGAUCCACAUCUGAUCUGCAUCCACUAGGAUCAACCCACAAUCCGACCCGCGAUCUGCUAGCCAUCUUUUACCAGUAUCCGCACCCGCAGCAGCAAGCUGUCUCAUAAGGGCUAGCGACAGUGUGUGUGUGUGUGUCUUGCAGGGAAGAGGCAGAGCGCAAGGGCAGGGACAUGGGGAUGGAGGUCACCAGCAACUGAUGGACCAUCUCAGAGUCUCAGGAACAUCAGAGGAUCUGGCUCUCUACCACCAAAGGAGGAGAUCAACAGAUCUAGGCUGAUAGCAAAGUCUUCACUGGAUCCUUUGAUGGAAUACAGGAAUCAGAUAUCAGGAAGCCGAUCUGCAGGGCUCUGUAUAUCUUCUACUAUUCAGCAGCAGGGCAACUCUGGUGUAAGAACGGGACACUGGGAGAUGGGUCAACUAUGUAAAAUAACUAAAAAACAACCUACUGUAAGUUAGACUUGUCCCACAUUGCCUUCACUUAACCAUUGUCCUCUUUCAGACCACUGUCUGUUUUCCCUCUUUAACUGUAUGUAAGGCCCAUUUCCGGAAAAAUUACAGGCAUGGAGCAUUCUGUUCCCUUCAAAGUGGGAAGGGGAAAACCCAACUCUGGCCAGCCUUAUUUACAUAAUUAUAAUAUUGCUUACCCAUAAUUCCAUUUAUUGAGUUUUGUUUCUUUAGUGGGAAUUUGUUUAUGUUUUGAUUGUAUAUAUGAUAGAUUAUUAUUAUCAUUACUGUAUUCCUAAAAGGGCACAGGUAAUGUGCAAGGUAUGCCCUGGAAUGUGUGGGUCACCACGUGUGUACAGGUAGUGGAUUUUGGUUUGGUAACAAAAUUCAAGUUCAACAAGGAAGGGGGAAAGGAUACUAGGAACUGUAUCCCAAGGAACAGAGAUCCUGUUUUGCUUUAGGUUUCCUACCUUACAAUUCUGGGUCUUGUGUAGAAUGAGUUAUAGGAGCUGAGCUUUUAGAGAAGCCUGACUGGACUAGCAGUAGUGAUAGUACAGAACUGACUUUGCAGUACACUGGCUCACUAGGCCAGCAGAAGCAGAGCUUACAUUACAGACCUGAACAAAGUAGCUGUAUGUCAGAGCAAAAACUGGUAGAGUAGUUCUUCAUGGAGUGGAGCAGACUAGCAGAAGAGAGGUACCUCCUGACUACCACUGAGUCUUGCUGGACCUGUGAAAGAUAUUAAUUUGAAGUCCAGUCCUGCAUCCCUAACACCGAUGAGAAAUGUUCACUCACAUAAGCAGUUCCAUUGAAGUAAGAGGAAUAAAGAUUAAAUGCUUGAGAGUUCUGCCAGGAAGGUUGAGAGGUAGCCUGUGUGAGGACAGGCUGAACUGGAAAAACAUGGGGGAGCUGAUGUGGUGGCCAGAAUAACAACAGAAGGAGAUACAGAGGACAUGGCAGGCAUUCUAGCUGACCCAGCAGACAGAGUGACAAUUCCUGCUGGGCGGAGCAACAGUGAGCGUUUCAGGAAUUCAUGAUGGAACAGACCCAGGUACAGCAGCAUAUAAUACAAAAUGUGAGAAGUCCUGCCAUGGGGGAGGGGAGGCUGGGACUCUGUGAAAUGGGCCCUAGGGAUCAUCCUGAUGCAUUCUUCCUGACUUUUGAAAGAAUUGCUACUAAUGCAGGCUGGGAUAAAGGGUUAUGGGCUGUACAGUUAGUCCCUUAUCUGGUGGGAGAAGCCCAAGGGACUUACAGAGCAUUGUAUGAGGAACAUGCUAAGAACUUUGAUAUGUUAAAGGCUGCUAUAUUAGACCGUGUAGGUUUGUCAGCCAAAAGACACUGGCAGAAAUGUAGGCAGCCACGUGGUAAGGCACAGAGCAUUUGAGCAGAAGUUGACUGAUUGGACCAAACAACAGCUGAGACAAAGGGGGCAAGAUGUUGAAGUACUGUCAUCUUAAACAGUUUAUGCAGAGCCUCCCAGAUACCACUAAGGUCUGCGUGAGGAGACACCAACCAGAGACACUGGAUGCAGCAGUAAAAUUGGCCAAAAAGUGUAUAGAAGCUCUUUUUUUUUUUUUUCUAAAGAAAGUGGCUUGUCCUAUGCUAGUGGGUGAAGGGGAGGAAAAAAGGCAAGAUUCCUUAAGCAGUAAGGCCCGUGAGUGUGAGACGGUGUGAAAGCCACGUCAGCCAGCCAGAAUAAAACCAUUUGUCCCUCUCACAGGUAGCAGGUCACUUUAAGUGGGACUGCCCAUAUAUGGAAUGCAGACUGGGGGGAUACUGCAGCUGCAUAGUGCUCAUUAGUGCAGAGCAUGCUAGCUGGUUUCAGGAGUGGAAUGCUCUAGGCAGAGAAUGCAUACAUGAGGGGUGGGGGAGAACCUAUCCAGUGGCAACAGUCCCAUCGGAAGUACAUGGGAGGUGUUGGUGGGAAAGGGCUGGGGUAAUAAGAACCUUGCUCCAUCCUGUGGUCAUGGGGACUGAUUGGAACCCAUUCCUUUUAAGGAGAAGAAUGGACCUUGAGGGAAGGAACCUCAAUGGAGGAAAAAAGGGCUUGGGGUUAAGCAUGGGACUCCGAGCCUCCCGGGGGAGAUAUGAGAGAACCCUAAAUGGAAGUCAACAAGCCAAGAAAGUGGGGACCAGGGAGGAAAGGUCCAGGCAAAGGAGAAGUGGGAAAAUGAAAACUCUCUAGACAAAUACCAAGAAAUUGAGGCCCAGAUGGAGAGUACCAGAGCAGAAGAGAAGCUGGAAAAGGGGGCAAAGGA